AGCGGAGGAAAAGAAACCAACAGGAUUGCUUCAGUAACGGCGAGUGAACCGGCAAAAGCUCAAAUUUGAAAUCUGGCUGCUUUUUUAGUAGUCCGAGUUGUAAUUUGAAGAAUAGAUCCUUGGAGAGGCGCUUUGUCUAUGUUCCUUGGAACAGGACGUCGCAGAGGGUGAGAAUCCCGUUUGGCGAGGUGUGCUGAUCCGUGUAAGGGCUGUUCGACGAGUCGAGUUGUUUGGGAAUGCAGCUCUAAGUGGGUGGUAAAUUCCAUCUAAAGCUAAAUAUUGGCGAGAGACCGAUAGCGAACAAGUACAGUGAUGGAAAGAUGAAAAGAACUUUGAAAAGAGAGUGAAAAAGUACGUGAAAUUGUUGAAAGGGAAGGUUAUUAGAUCAGACUUGGAUUUUUUAUUAUAUUUGUCUCCUUGUGGGGCAUUCACUAAUUUUUAAUCCAGGCCAGCAUCGAUUGGGAUGGCGGGAAAAAGAGGGAGGAACGUGGCUGUGCAUUUAUGUGCAGUGUUUAUAGCCUUUCUUAAUACCGCCUGUCUCGAUGCGAGGACUGCGGCAAAUUUAUUUUUGCCUAGGAUGCUGGCGAGAGAUGA
RNAcentral lists this ribosomal RNA (594 nucleotides) under Barnettozyma californica. Its description in RNAcentral is "eukaryotic LSU rRNA". It matches the Rfam family "Eukaryotic large subunit ribosomal RNA", at positions 49 to 637 of the family's 3401-position model. Lineage: Eukaryota; Fungi; Ascomycota; Saccharomycetes; Phaffomycetales; Phaffomycetaceae. The record is from RNAcentral.